This is a long non-coding RNA of Silurus meridionalis, 435 nucleotides long. RefSeq lists it as uncharacterized. The transcript is spliced from 3 exons. The record is from RefSeq and is a predicted model, not a curated record. Lineage: Eukaryota; Metazoa; Chordata; Actinopteri; Siluriformes; Siluridae.
CAGAAACCAUGAGACAUUCUGAGGUAAAUCCAAAAUUCCAAACACACUUGAAUCCCAGCCUGCUUGAUCAAGCUGUAAGUUCAUAUAGCAAGACAGAAGAAAUAAAUGUGGCAAUGUCGAGUGUGUGAUUUAACUUCAUCUGUGCAAAUUGUAGGGCUGAUAGCUGAGAAAGAGGGAGCAGAACUCGAACAUUUAAGCUGACUUCGGCGCUCUAUUCCUGGCUAAAACCACACUACAGGCACUAACAUGGAGCAUAUGUUGCAAAGUAGUACACUAGAUAUAUAAAAUGAAGAAAACAUAUUUAGAUAUAUUUAAUUUAUAAUAUAUUUCACCAAUAACGCUUUGGAUUUUGGAUAUUAGGCUCCUUCCGAAUAUUGUCUCCAAACAUAUAUAAAAAAGAAAAUUUGUUGGAAUAAAACUAAUGACUGAAGAUAA